RNAcentral lists this ribosomal RNA (497 nucleotides) under uncultured bacterium. RNAcentral's name for it is "partial 16S ribosomal RNA". It matches the Rfam family "Bacterial small subunit ribosomal RNA", at positions 28 to 507 of the family's 1533-position model. The record is from RNAcentral.
GAUGAACGCUGGCGGCGUGCCUAAUACAUGCAAGUCGAGCGAACGGACGAGAAGCUUGCUUCUCUGAUGUUAGCGGCGGACGGGUGAGUAACACGUGGAUAACCUACCUAUAAGACUGGGAUAACUUCGGGAAACCGGAGCUAAUACCGGAUAAUAUUUUGAACCGCAUGGUUCAAAAGUGAAAGACGGUCUUGCUGUCACUUAUAGAUGGAUCCGCGCUGCAUUAGCUAGUUGGUAAGGUAACGGCUUACCAAGGCAACGAUUCAUAGCCGACCUGAGAGGGUGAUCGGCCACACUGGAACUGAGACACGGUCCAGACUCCUACGGGAGGCGGCAGUAGGGAAUCUUCCGCAAUGGGCGAAAGCCUGACGGAGCAACGCCGCGUGAGUGAUGAAGGUCUUCGGAUCGUAAAACUCUGUUAUUAGGGAAGAACAUAUGUGUAAGUAACUGUGCACAUCUUGACGGUACCUAAUCAGAAAGCCACGGCUAACUACGUG